GAUGAACGCUGGCGGCGUGCUUAACACAUGCAAGUCGAACGAAGCACUUUAUUUGAUUUCCUUCGGUACUGAUUAUUUUGUGUCUGAGUGGCGUACGUGUGAUUAACUCGAGGGUAACCUGCCUUGUACAGGGGGGUGACAGUAGGAAACGGCUGCUAAUACCGCAUAAGCGCACAGCAUCGCAUGAGGCAGUGUGAAAAGCUCGGGUGGUAUAGCAUGGACCCGCGUUGGUUUUGCUAGGUGGUGGGGUAACGGCCCAGCAAGGCGACGAUGCAUAGCUGAGCUGGGAGGGUGACCGGCUGCGUUGGGACUGAGACACGGCCCAAACUCCUACGGAGGGCAGCAGAGGGGAAUAUUGCACAAUGGGCGAAAACCUGGUGCAGCGACGCCGCGUGAGCGAAGCAGUAUUUCGGUAUGUAAAGCUCUAUCAGCAGGGAAGAUAAUGACGGUACCUGACUAAGAAGCACCGGCUAACUACGUG
This 481-nucleotide ribosomal RNA is filed under the name uncultured bacterium. RNAcentral describes it as "partial 16S ribosomal RNA". It matches the Rfam family "Bacterial small subunit ribosomal RNA", at positions 28 to 507 of the family's 1533-position model. The record is from RNAcentral.